GAUGAACGCUGGCGGCGUGCCUAAUACAUGCAAGUCGAACGAGGAGAUUGUAGCAAUACGGUCUUCGAGUGGCGAACGGGUGAGUAACGCGUUGGUGACCUGCCCCGAAGUGAGGGAUACCAGUUCGAAAGGACUGCUAAUACCGCAUGUGGUUGGAGAGGUUAGAGGCUUUUCAACUAAAGGAGCAAUUCGCUUCGGGAGGGACCUGCGACCCAUCAGCUAGUUGGUAGGGUAACGGCCUACCAAGGCGACGACGGGUAGGGGACCUGAGAGGGUGACCCCCCACACUGGCACUGAAACACGGGCCAGACACCUACGGGUGGCUG
Molecule: ribosomal RNA, 326 nt
Filed under: uncultured Chloroflexota bacterium
Lineage: Bacteria; Bacillati; Chloroflexota
Description: bacterial SSU rRNA
Rfam family: Bacterial small subunit ribosomal RNA
Source: RNAcentral